This 223-nucleotide unclassified non-coding RNA is filed under the name plant metagenome. RNAcentral describes it as "partial contains small subunit ribosomal RNA, internal transcribed spacer 1, and 5.8S ribosomal RNA". The record is from RNAcentral.
UUUCCGUAGGUGAACCUGCGGAAGGAUCAUUAAAGAGAAUAUGCCCUUCGGGGUAGAUCUCCCACCCUUUGUUUAUAUUACCUUUGUUGCUUUGGCAGGCCCGUCUUCGGACCACCGGCUUCGGCUGGUCAGUGCUUGCCAGAGGACCCAAAACUCUUACUAUUAAUGUCGUCUGAGUACUAUAUAAUAGUUAAAGCUUUCAACAACGGAUCUCUUGGUUCUG